RNAcentral lists this ribosomal RNA (301 nucleotides) under uncultured bacterium. RNAcentral's name for it is "partial 16S ribosomal RNA". It matches the Rfam family "Bacterial small subunit ribosomal RNA", at positions 509 to 808 of the family's 1533-position model. The record is from RNAcentral.
CAGCGCCGCGGGAAUAUGUAGGUGGCAAGCGUUGUCCGGAAUUAUUGGGCGUAAAGGGCUCGCAGGCGGUUUCUUAAGUCUGAUGUGAAAGCCCCCGGCUCAACCGGGGAGGGUCAUUGGAAACUGGGAAACUUGAGUGCAGAAGAGGAGAGUGGAGUUCCACGUGUAGCGGUGAAAUGCGUAGAGAUGUGGAGGAACACCAGUGGCGAAGGCGACUCUCUGGUCUGUAACUGACGCUGAGGGGCGAAAGCGUGGGGAGCGAACAGGAUUAGAUACCCCCGUAGUCCCUGUCUCUUAUACA